GAAAGAAAGAAAUAAGGAGAAAAGGGAAAUUAAAGAUCUAAUUUCCCUUUUCUCCUUAUUUCUUUCUUUUGU
This 72-nucleotide microRNA precursor is filed under the name Pelobates cultripes (western spadefoot toad). Lineage: Eukaryota; Metazoa; Chordata; Amphibia; Anura; Pelobatidae. The record is from RNAcentral.